GUGGGGAAUAUUGGACAAUGGGCGAAAGCCUGAUCCAGCCAUGCCGCGUGUGUGAAGAAGGUCUUCGGAUUGUAAAGCACUUUAAGUUGGGAGGAAGGGCAGUAAGCUAAUACCUUGCUGUUUUGACGUUACCGACAGAAUAAGCACCGGCUAACUUCGUGCCAGCAGCCGCGGUAAUACGAAGGGUGCAAGCGUUAAUCGGAAUUACUGGGCGUAAAGCGCGCGUAGGUGGUUCAGUAAGUUGGAAGUGAAAUCCCCGGGCUCAACCUGGGAACUGCUUUCAAAACUGCUGAGCUAGAGUACGGUAGAGGGUGGUGGAAUUUCCUGUGUAGCGGUGAAAUGCGUAGAUAUAGGAAGGAACACCAGUGGCGAAGGCGACCACCUGGACUGAUACUGACACUGAGGUGCGAAAGCGUGGGGAGCAAACAGGAUUAGAUACCCGGGUAGUCC
This 450-nucleotide ribosomal RNA is filed under the name uncultured bacterium. Its description in RNAcentral is "partial 16S ribosomal RNA". It matches the Rfam family "Bacterial small subunit ribosomal RNA", at positions 354 to 796 of the family's 1533-position model. The record is from RNAcentral.